Molecule: ribosomal RNA, 253 nt
Filed under: uncultured bacterium
Lineage: Bacteria
Description: partial 16S ribosomal RNA
Rfam family: Bacterial small subunit ribosomal RNA
Source: RNAcentral
UACGUAGGGGGCUAGCGUUGUCCGGAAUCAUUGGGCGUAAAGCGCGUGUAGGCGGUCCGGUAAGUCCGCUGUGAAAGUCGGGGGCUCAACCCUCGGAUGCCGGUGGAUACUGUCGGGCUUGAGUACGGAAGAGGCGAGUGGAAUUCCUGGUGUAGCGGUGAAAUGCGCAGAUAUCAGGAGGAACACCUAUUGCGAAGGCGGCUCGCUGGGACGUAACUGACGCUGAGACGCGAAAGCGUGGGGAGCAAACAGG